RNAcentral lists this long non-coding RNA (349 nucleotides) under Gallus gallus (chicken). RNAcentral describes it as "lncRNA (ENSGALG00010025090.1)". Lineage: Eukaryota; Metazoa; Chordata; Aves; Galliformes; Phasianidae. The record is from RNAcentral.
GCGCUGAGACACAGCCCCAACAUGUGUGAGUGACAUCCCACAUCCACACAUGGGGGCCGCGUUCAGCUCACAGAGGAGAAGGCUUCAGGGAGCUCACACCAGCACCUAGCAGGUCAUCAGCAAGGUCACCAUUGAGCAGCUUCCUGAGGAUGCUCAGUACUCACUCUGGUUCAGCAGGAGGCGAAGAUCACUUGAAGUCCCUGCAGUCUCUUCUGGAUGAGCAGAAGCCUUAGAGCAUGGCUAUCCAACCUUUUGGCUUGUCUGAGCUGUAUUGAGUGAAGAGGAAUGGUUCUGGGCCACAUAUACAUGGGUUGCUCCAAAAGUAAUGCCUCCUGUUUAUUUCCAUGGA